GUCUGUGCGCAUGUGCGAGCGAUUGCGGAGCGAGUGAGAAGCGUGUGAACUUUAUAAACUCUCCCCUCCUCCAGUUGUCGUCGCUCAAGAUAGUUUCGUUGAAAUAUCUGGUGAUUUCAGACUUGUGGAGAGUUAUUUCAAUGAAUAAUGUUUCACACAUGGCUUUUAUUGUGUUUGUUCUUGUGGCAUGUGGUCGGUGUGUUUGGUGUUGAUCCAGAUAAAGUGAAGUCAGUGUCAGUGAUGGAGGGAGAUUCUGUCACUUUACACACUGAUCUUACUCAAAUACAAGAUAAAGAUGAGAUCGACUGGUGGUUUGAAUCUGAAACUUGCAUCGCUAGAAUCAAGAGAAAGAUCUUCAAUACAUAUGAAAAUGUUCUUGGUGGGAGAUUCAGAGGUCGACUGCAUCUGAACAAUCAGACUGGAGAUCUCACCAUCACAAACAUCAAAACUGAACACACUGGACUUUAUCAAGAUAAUUUGAUCAAGAUAUUAUCACUACAGAUAAUAAAGAUAUAAAAAAGAUAUUCAGUGUCACAGUUUAUGGUGAGUGUUACAGUGUCGUCUGUCUUCAUCAUUAUAUUAAUAAUCAUUUACAGAAU
Xyrauchen texanus (razorback sucker) is the source of this 599-nucleotide long non-coding RNA. RefSeq lists it as uncharacterized. The record is from RefSeq and is a predicted model, not a curated record. The transcript is spliced from 3 exons. NCBI's taxonomy places the organism in Eukaryota, Metazoa, Chordata, Actinopteri, Cypriniformes, Catostomidae.